Molecule: long non-coding RNA, 282 nt
Filed under: Brassica napus (rape)
Lineage: Eukaryota; Viridiplantae; Streptophyta; Magnoliopsida; Brassicales; Brassicaceae
Description: long non-coding RNA (BNAP_LNC019770)
Source: RNAcentral
CGUGUAUUUCGGAAAACAUUUCCGGUAUCGGAUAUAAUCGAUUGGAUUCGGUUAUCCGGACAUGCUCAUAUCAAAAUCCAUUUGGGUAUUUUACUAUUUCGGUUCGGAUUUUGGUUCGGAUAUUUCGGAUCAGUUCGGAUUUGAGUUCGGGUAUCGGAUAAAAUGUCCAAACCUAUUGUGUACUGCGAUAUCACUAGAUUAACGUAUCUUGUGAAAGAAACUGAGAUGAUUAUACAGACCUUCUGACUUACAACAAACACAAAUAGAUGACUCUAAAUUUGU